GCGAGUGAACAGGGAGAAGCCCAGCACCGAAGCCUGUGACCAUUUGGUUACUAGGCAAUGUGGUGUUUAGGUCGUUCCUUGAGGGCGCUGCCACACUCCAAGUCCAGUAAUGAGUACGGUAAUAUUGACUUGGCCCAAAGAGGGUGAAAGGCCCGUAGGAGUGUGGUCGCAGAAAUGUCAGUGCCUUUCUGGAUAGACCUUGGAGUCGGGUUGUUUGUGAAUGCAGCCCAAAGUGGGUGGUAAACUCCAUCCAAGGCUAAAUACUAACACGAGUCCGAUAGCGAACAAGUACCGUGAGGGAAAGUUGAAAAGUACUUUGAAGAGAGAGUAAACAGUGCGUGAAACCGCUCAGAGGUAAACGGGUGGAGUUGAACUGUGAUCCCUGUGGAUUUAGCUGGUGAGUAUGGAUUGAGCUUGGUUAAAUUGGUUGCAUUUCGGAAUCUGCUUAGCCGCAGGUCCUUACCUUCUGGUGGGGAUGCGCGAUGCACUUAUCAAGUGUUGUGCGUUCCGUUUGUAGCGCCUGCUCGCCAGUGCACUUUCGCAGGGUGUUCACCACGACCGGCAUUGCUGUCUGACUGAUGUGGUUAAACCGGCUUUUCGUUGUUCAUGUGACUUUGGAUUGUCGGGAUGGCAGGUAGCUCUUUUGUGGGGCCUUCAGAUUUCUGUAGGAUCCUGCUUUAGGGUGUUAUCAGCCGACCGCGUCGGUUCUGUGCAGUGUGUCGGAGACGGCGGCUUGUGGUACAUGCGUGCGUGCUAGUUGGUUGGCAGAUCUGGGUUUGGUUAUUAUGUUGCUUGUGAUUACAGGCCUGAUGAUAGCCCGGAUUUGUUUGGCCGGCAGUUGCGUGCGUAGUGC
This 853-nucleotide ribosomal RNA is filed under the name Chelediadema marjoriae. RNAcentral describes it as "eukaryotic LSU rRNA". It matches the Rfam family "Eukaryotic large subunit ribosomal RNA", at positions 89 to 628 of the family's 3401-position model. The record is from RNAcentral. Lineage: Eukaryota; Metazoa; Platyhelminthes; Trematoda; Opisthorchiida; Cryptogonimidae.